GCCUGGGUGGCUCAAUCGGUUAAGCAUCUGACUUCAGCUCAGGUCAUGAUCUUGUGGUUUGUGAGUUCCAGCCCCACAUCAGGCU
Molecule: transfer RNA, 85 nt
Filed under: Felis catus (domestic cat)
Lineage: Eukaryota; Metazoa; Chordata; Mammalia; Carnivora; Felidae
Rfam family: tRNA
About the family: Transfer RNA (tRNA) molecules are approximately 80 nucleotides in length. Their secondary structure includes four short double-helical elements and three loops (D, anti-codon, and T loops).
Source: Rfam by way of RNAcentral